AGUGCCUGGUGGUGGCGCCUGGUGGUCAUCGUCGUCAUCGUCGCCGGCGUUUGCCCCUCCUUUUUUUUGUUUUCGCUUCUCUGUUCUUAGGUGUGCAUCGCGCCCACCGCUGCUGCUGCGCCAGUGUUCAUCACCAUUCCGAGCACACUCACAAGCUCUCCCUUUCUCAUUCUUAUGGUGCCAACUCUGUGCGUGUGCCGGCCCAAUCUGCUUUUUUUUUGCGUUGACCGCCAGACAUGUGGGCAGCGCUGCCGCCUGUCGUGUCGGUGGUCACCGCAGCUGAGGAGCUUGCCGGCGUGUCUAUGGCGGCGCACACGUCUGGCAUGAUGUGUGAGUCUAACAGCGGCAGCUGCCCGCCGGCCGCCGUGGCCCCUGCACGCUGUAGCAUACCAAACAUGCUUGGUGCGCCGUCUGCAAUGAAUCAUCACCAUACAAGCCUAGUCUCCAACGAGCAUCGUGCGCCGUCAAACGGCUCGCAGUGCGGGCACCGCAUUAGGGCCGCGUUCCCGCCGCCAGAGGUCGGCGACGGCGCUGCCUGUGGGACCGCCGCACCAGCAACGGCGGCAGCAACGGGUGGUGGUGGGAGUCGGCAGGCGCAUCCGGGCUCCCACGCUGCACCGCUGCCGCUGCAGCGGCCACAUCUUGAGUGCAAUGCUUUUCAAUCGCCAGCAUCUCCGCCGACUGUGGGGGCACCGGCUCCAGUAAUGUCGUCGCCGGCGGCGUGCCACAUUUCGGGGUCGCUGUUUUCUGGACACGCCGUCGCUUCCCCUGGGCAGGACGUGCUUGGCUACAGCCCGAGCGGAAGCACCGUCGCUUCUCCAUCGAUGGGAGUCACCGCAGUCGAUACACGGCCGCCGCCCGGUCUGGGCCCCACAUGGGCGUCUAGCUUUCAUCAGGUGCAACCGUCUUUCUGCCUCUCUGGGUCACCUUUGAGUCUUACGGCAACGGGAAGCCCUACCGGUGGCACGGCGUGCGCAUCCGCAAUGAUGUUGCCCUCCGCACCCUUGCACGCUGCCCCAAAGGCAACACUACCGACCAACAGUGGCGCUGCGCUGCCUCUGCUGAGGUCUGUACCGACUGCGACGGCCCACGACUCCACGGCCGCGCACACGGCUGUGAAUCCCUUUCAAGACUGGGCUGGCGUUCCACUGACCGCGUCCGCGGCGGGCCAGGUUGGCGCGCCGUCGUGGGCUGUAGCCGAGUGCCAGGCUCAGAAUCAUCAGGUGCCUGCACCUCUUGCCUGUCUGUCCCACCUCACCACGCCUGCGUCUGCGCUCACGCCGACGCCACACGCUUCAUCUAUCGCUAGUCGCGGCGCUCUUAGACACUCAACAUCUGUUACCUCUGCAUUAAGCCCGGGAAGCGGCGCGGGCAGUCCGGGCAGCGCCGGCAACGUUAUCCAAACGCCAUCGUUCAAGACGCCUGUCUGCGUCAGCGGUGCGCCUCCACGGCACUCAAGUGAAGACGCGCCCCUUCGCAGCCCGUAUGCGUUACCGUCAUCGGCGUGGGAGGUGGGCGGCGCGUCGCCCAACACCAGCGGGACGGCAUUCACUGCCGCUACUUCGGGGGGUAUAAGAGUGUCGUCCCCGAAAACAUCACCGCAACCGCAGCACAUCACCUUCGCCCAGCUAGGCCACGGCGGCAGCGCCAGUGCCGGCGUUAGUGAUGCGGGCCACAGGCACUUUCAGGCACCGGCCCCAACACAGCUCUCACCGGUGCUCGAUCCCACAACCCCGGGGCAGCAUCCACACCCGGGAGGCGGCGCAGAGAGAGCCAACGUCGGUGCCGAGACGCCGCGGAAGCUGCUAGACGGAUCCGUCUGCUUUGCCACGCUGCCGAAUCACAACCACAGCUUUUACAUGGGCACCGCCGGCAACGACAAUCUGAAUCGUAGCUUCUUGUUUCCCUUGACCUCAUCAUGCGGCGCAGCAGUGGCAGCCGACGGCGCGGAGGACGCAUCCGUGAUGAGCGCUGGCGGAGGCGGGCCAACCCCUGCAGCGAUGUCCCACGUGCGUUCCCCAGGCGUCGCAUGCGGUCGCCCUGCCGGCCAGACGACCCCGCCCAUGGCACCCGUCGGCGGCACUGGCGUCGCUGCCUACGGUGUGAGCGACCCCUUGCCCUCCUCGGAGGCCAGCUCCAUCCUGGCGGACACCUACCGCUCGCUGACGCUGUUCGAACUACCGCCUCUUCAGUACGCUUCACAGCUACUGCAAGGGCAGCCACCGUCCCAUCAGCCGCACCCGCAGCUGCAGCAACCACCACAAGUCACAUCUACGCCAGCGGCGACGACGACGCUGCCGUCGCCAGGGCCUUAUCGCACCAUCUUUUGCCGGAGUCCUCAAAUACCUUCGCUGAAUGAGGCGCUGACGGGCCUCGCACAGCCGCUGAACGUGCCCCGCGCGUCAGCGAUGGGCAGGUGCAGCAGCCUCAACCAGUCUCCAUACCUGCAGCAGUUAUCCACCGGCCAUUCCCGAUCUCCGUCCGUGAAUGGGGCGGCUGCUGCGGAGGCGAGUCGUAACGCGGGCGUCGCAAACUCGUCCUUUAUCUCCCCCACGCUGGCGAACUUGAAGUGGCAUUGUCGAUUCGAGGGGUCUCUAUCUGGCUCCGAAAACGCAAUCGAGCUCCCAGAUAGCAGCGCGCAGGUGACAGGAUGCACUGCUGCUGCUCCUGCCCCCGGCGAUGGGCGUGGCAGUGCCAGUUUGAGGACGUCAUUGUCCAUGUCUGACGCGAAGCCGGCACCUCGGCCUGCGUACAUCGUCGAGUGGGAGCAGAGCCUCAUCGCCUUCCAGAGUCGCGCGGAAAGCUACUAUACUUUCAAAAAUAUUUGCACCGAGACGUAUUUGACGCUCAUCGAGCACAACGUCGACCGCUUCCUCGUAUGCUACUUCAGCGGUGGCGCCAUCAGGCCCGAGAGAUCGCUGCAGGAGGCGCUGGCGAGCCGCGCUGGGGCCUUAGCCAAUACAUCAACUCAUCUCUUCGGCGGCACCGGCGCCGGCAACUUGAAUGCGAAGAGACCAGGUGACCAUGUGUCCAGUGGUGCUGGCAUUCAGAAAAUGCUGCAGGGCAGCAAGGCACUCCAGCGGCUGAGCGAGACUGGGUCGAAGUGGCUGACGAAGAUAGGCGUCAACCUGCGGCGGACGACCGCGACUCCGGCGCCGGUGUCCAGCGAGCCGCAGACGGUGCUGAUGAGCGCUGACCCUGCCGACCGGGCCCCACCUGCCUUUGCCGGCACAGUCGCUUCUCCGCUGCGGAGCAUGGGAGAGGGCUCCCCGGACCGCCGGACCACGCCGAUGAUCAUUGGUGCUGCGGGAGCAGCAACGACAGCGGUGGAUAGCGGGGUGCUGGAGCCCACCUACACAAGUCUGUGCGCCGCCGACCCGUUUGGUGCGAGCUUGACCCCGAGCGCCGCUCCAGGACAGCUGCCCCCGCCCGCAACUUGCGACUCGAUCUCGUCGGCUAGCACAAGUUCAUUGCCUUUGCCAUCCACAUUGCCACACACCGGUGCGACUACGGAGACGGGCUCCGGUGCUGCCACAAUGGCCGCGGCGUUUCCGGCGCGCUUUUCCGCCGAGGAGGUAGAGAUUCAUUGCCUGCGCCAGCUCGGCCCUUACGUGGCCAACGUGGUCCCAGAGACGUUCAUGGAUGCGCGACCGAGCGACGGCGUUCUAGACCAGGUGCGCCGCAACUACGCUAUUCUCCUCCACACCCUGCAGCACGUCUUGCUCGAUGCUAACGAUAGCAGUGGGCGAGUCGCUGACGCCUCCUCGCCUUUCGUGGACAGCACCCCGCCGUCUCCGACUCCGUCCACCGGGCCGGUAGGUUCGCUGGGCCGCACAAGGAUGGAUUGGCUCGUUUCUCAGCGCAUUCGUCAAGGGCUAUUGCUGCCCACCAUUCAGGCCACCUGGCGGGACUACUUAACCCCUCUUAAGUGCAAGGUGCAGGAACUGACGCAGAUCGCGAAGACGAGCAUUGACCCGAUCCUCGGGGACCUGCAAACACCGUGUGGCACGGGUGCCACCGGUGGUGCUGCAGCGGUGCCGCUGAUGGCACCAGCGAGCCCCGACCGAGUCCUGCGGCAUGACUCGACGGCCGCCGCCACUCCCUCCACGAAAGGGGUAAGUGCUUCUUUUUUUGCAAUGACGGAUGCAGAACGAGCUGCUCGCGAAGCCCUGCGAGCAUCGUGGGAAGGCCCUAUCAGUCGACUGAUCCGGCUUCUCCGCGGUGACGAGGAGUAUCUCGCUACCAUACAGACGAUGGACAGUGAGUUUGUGGAAAGUGGAGCGGCGUGGCAGGAGAGCAAUGCACAACUGCGGCUGCGCGGUGCGGCACUCAGCGACUACGUGCCCGUGUACGGGCUAGUGCUCUCGCGGCUCCAUCGACUAGAGAUGGAGCACCGCACUGUGCUGGAGCUGUGGGGCGGCGGCGCAGCCGCCGCGGCCGGCACGCAACACCGCAUGUACGCAUAGCACCCGUAUGCGCGUGUGUUUCGGUGUUUUUGCCUUCCUCUCACUCUAUACGUGCAUGCUUUUGGAUGAUUGCGCGGGCAGCGACACGGGAUGCCACAACGGAAAGAAAAGCACGCCGAAGGGGACUGCACGUGUCCGUAUUCCAAUCUUGGGAGGAGAAUGGGGGGGGGUGGCACUCGCGUGUAUGGCAGGGACGUGCUUCCUUGCGGGCAUGCGCAUCGGCAACUUCGCAGGAGUGUAUCCGCGACAGGCGAAAGCACAUCGGCGAGACGAACGAAAAACAGAAAAGAAGGCACGUGAACCUUGUAGACUGCCGACGCUGUGCGGCGUUGUUUGAGGCUCCUCAUGCCUCCGCUUCUUCUUAUGCACGACGACACCUGCCCCAUGCUCUCACCUGCUUCACGUUGACUACCCAC
RNAcentral lists this unclassified non-coding RNA (4882 nucleotides) under Leishmania donovani. RNAcentral describes it as "gene:LdHU3.23.1280(CDS-product:hypothetical_prote in_conserved)". Lineage: Eukaryota; Euglenozoa; Kinetoplastea; Trypanosomatida; Trypanosomatidae. The record is from RNAcentral.